This 494-nucleotide ribosomal RNA is filed under the name Bacillus pumilus. Its description in RNAcentral is "bacterial SSU rRNA". It matches the Rfam family "Bacterial small subunit ribosomal RNA", at positions 1 to 491 of the family's 1533-position model. The record is from RNAcentral. Lineage: Bacteria; Bacillati; Bacillota; Bacilli; Caryophanales; Bacillaceae.
UAGAGUUUGGAUCAUGGCUCAGGACGAACGCUGGCGGCGUGCCUAAUACAUGCAAGUCGAGCGGACAGAAGGGAGCUUGCUCCCGGAUGUUAGCGGCGGACGGGUGAGUAACACGUGGGUAACCUGCCUGUAAGACUGGGAUAACUCCGGGAAACCGGAGCUAAUACCGGAUAGUUCCUUGAACCGCAUGGUUCAAGGAUGAAAGACGGUUUCGGCUGUCACUUACAGAUGGACCCGCGGCGCAUUAGCUAGUUGGUGGGGUAAUGGCUCACCAAGGCGACGAUGCGUAGCCGACCUGAGAGGGUGAUCGGCCACACUGGGACUGAGACACGGCCCAGACUCCUACGGGAGGCAGCAGUAGGGAAUCUUCCGCAAUGGACGAAAGUCUGACGGAGCAACGCCGCGUGAGUGAUGAAGGUUUUCGGAUCGUAAAAGCUCUGUUGUUAGGGAAGAACCAAGUGCGAGAGUAACUGCUCGCCCCUUGACCGCCUACC